GCAGCUGUGUGAUUAUUGAUUGCUGUGUGAUUUUCCAGCCAAUGGCAGGUUCUGCAGAGACCUCAUCUCGCCCGUGACCAUGGCGCACUCCUGUAUUUUGUGAAACAAAUCGCCAGCCUGCAUCGAAGUACUCAUAGAGUACCUCAUAGUACUCAUUAACCACACAGAACUGCAAAAUGGACCAGAUGCCAAAAGGGAAUUUUAUCAAGCCUUCCUUUCAGGUCUUAUCUAUGGAUGAAAAAUCAAGCAGCUGUGAAGAAAUCCUCUUUCUCUGGCCUGCUGUCCCAACCAGACUUCGGAGCUGACAGACACGUGGCUGGUCCCACGCGUGGCAGCUGCUGAGAAGGACUCUGGCCAGGGUUUCUCUUGAAUCAGAGGAGCAUAGACCCAUCCAGGCUCUGCAGUUCCAAAAGGAGCAGAUGCUGCCCCGAAGUUAGAGAAAGGAGGAGAAACACACUUAAAUUAUACCUUUCACAGUUUAAAUUGGAUAUAUGCUUUCCUCCUGGACUCCCGGGCUCUAUCCAGUUGAAGAGAAUGAGAUAUGAGGACAGACAAUCAGUUCAUGCCGUAUGAGGAAACAGAGAUUGAAUAGAAACAAGGGCACCAGCGGCCUCAGGAUGAGCCUCUCGUACCACUCCAAUCAUUUUCCCAGCCUUGGCUGCAGCUCCCACGUCUCUGCGCUCAUUGACCCCUGCCUUGGCCCCUUUCAACGUGCCCCUCCUCUCUGGAGCCCUCUGGGUUGGUGAAGGUUUGCGUAGGCGUUUCAGGGAGUAGCAGUGACGAAGUUCAAAGGGAAGGGGACGCAGUGGAGUCAGUUUGGGCAGGAGGAAGGGACACUGCAAGGCUGGCGUUGUCCUGGCUCCAGGGUUCUUUCUCCCUGUCUGGGUGAAAUCCCACCGAGGCUACCUGCCAACAUUCAGAUUCUGACAACGCAAAUAUAUUCGUCUGGGCGCUUCUUCCUGUGUUCAAACACUACAAUUUUGCCUUGCCAGUUGCCAGUCUCUUGUGAACGAAGGUGUUAACCAUAUAUGAGGGAGCGGACUAAGUGAGGUGACUCUGCUUUCUCUAAAUAAUAAUCCUGGACUUCUGAACAGUAGGUUGCUGUCUAUGCCAUUUGAUUCUCACAACACUGUGGACAAAGAAGCCACCGGGGAAACUGAGCCCCAGCUGUGUCUGCCCGGGUUCGUGUCACCACCUGAUUUACCUUUGCUGGGUGUCCCUUCUGCUCUGCCAGGCCCUGGCACAAUAAGGCACAGUGGUCUGACAGGCUGUUGCUGCCCGAUUAUUAAUACCUUCCCAAAAGCCCAGGAGCAGAGACAGAGAGGAUCUGUGAAUUAUGGGACCAAGAUCUUUUUUUUGCUUUCCUGGAAUCUAAGAAAGUUUCUCUUUUUAGUAAUGGUUAAGAAUCUGCUCAGAUAAAACAUUAAUUGAAACUUGUACUGAACUAAAACAACACAGACAGGGCGUGCAUUGUAGCACAGAUGGUUACACUGCCACUUGAGGCACACGCGUCCUGUAUCAGAAUGC
Oryctolagus cuniculus (rabbit) is the source of this 1527-nucleotide long non-coding RNA. RefSeq lists it as uncharacterized. NCBI's taxonomy places the organism in Eukaryota, Metazoa, Chordata, Mammalia, Lagomorpha, Leporidae. The record is from RefSeq and is a predicted model, not a curated record.